UACGUAGGGGGCGAGCGUUGUCCGGAGUUACUGGGCGUAAAGCGCGCGUAGGUGGUCAUUUAAGUCUGAGGUGAAAGGUUCAGCGCUCAACGUGAACAGUGCCUUGGAUACUGGGUGACUUGAGUUCGGGAGGGGGCUGUGGAAUUCCAGGUGUAGCGGUGAAAUGCGUAGAUAUCUGGAGGAACACCGAUGGCGAAGGCAGCAGCCUGGCCCAGAACUGACACUGAGGUGCGAAAGCGUGGGGAGCGAACGGG
This 254-nucleotide ribosomal RNA is filed under the name uncultured bacterium. RNAcentral describes it as "partial 16S ribosomal RNA". It matches the Rfam family "Bacterial small subunit ribosomal RNA", at positions 524 to 776 of the family's 1533-position model. The record is from RNAcentral.